GAUGAACGCUGGCGGCGUGCCUAAUACAUGCAAGUCGAGCGAACGGACGAGAAGCUUGCUUUUCUGAUGUUAGCGGCGGACGGGUGAGUAACACGUGUAUAACCUACCUAUAAUACUGGUAUAACUUCGGGAAACCGGCGCUAAUACCGGAUAAUAUUUUGAUCCGCAUGGUUGAAAGGUGAAAGACGGUCUUGCUGGCACUUCUAGAUGGAUCCGCGCUGCAUUGGCUAGUUGGUAAGGUAACGGCUUACCAAGGCAACGAUGCAUAGCCGACCUGAGAGGGUGAUAGGCGACACUGGAACUGAGACACGGUCCAGACGCCUACGGGAGGCAGCAGUAGGGAAUCUUCCGCAAAGGGCGAAAGCCUGACGGAGCAACGCGGAGUGAGUGAUGAAGGUCUUCGGAUCGUAAAACUCUGUUAUUAGGGAAGAACAUAUGUGUAAGUAACUGUGCACAUAUUGACGGUACCGAAUCAGAAAGCCACGGCUAACUACGUG
RNAcentral lists this ribosomal RNA (497 nucleotides) under uncultured bacterium. Its description in RNAcentral is "partial 16S ribosomal RNA". It matches the Rfam family "Bacterial small subunit ribosomal RNA", at positions 28 to 507 of the family's 1533-position model. The record is from RNAcentral.